GGGCCCGCACAAGCAGUGGAGUAUGUGGUUUAAUUCGAAGCAACGCGAAGAACCUUACCUGGGCUUGACAUCCACAGAAUGCCUAAGAGAUUAGGCAGUGCCCUUCGGGGAACUGUGAGACAGGUGGUGCAUGGUUGUCGUCAGCUCGUGUCGUGAGAUGUUGGGUUAAGUCCCGCAACGAGCGCAACCCUUAUUGUUAGUUGCCAGCAUUUAGUUGGGCACUCUAGCAAGACUGCCGGUGACAAAUCGGAGGAAGGUGGGGACGACGUCAAAUCAUCAUGCCCCUUAUGUCCAGGGCUACACACGUACUACAAUGGCUGUUAACAGAGGGAAGCAAUACCGCGAGGUGGAGCAAAUCCCUAAAAACAGUCCCAGUUCAGAUUGCAGGCUGAAACUCGCCUGCAUGAAGUCGGAAUUGCUAGUAAUCGCAGAUCAGCAUGCUGCGGUGAAUACGUUCCCGGGCCUU
RNAcentral lists this ribosomal RNA (466 nucleotides) under uncultured bacterium. RNAcentral's name for it is "bacterial SSU rRNA". It matches the Rfam family "Bacterial small subunit ribosomal RNA", at positions 917 to 1382 of the family's 1533-position model. The record is from RNAcentral.